This 376-nucleotide ribosomal RNA is filed under the name uncultured bacterium. Its description in RNAcentral is "bacterial SSU rRNA". It matches the Rfam family "Bacterial small subunit ribosomal RNA", at positions 28 to 404 of the family's 1533-position model. The record is from RNAcentral.
GACGAACGCUGGCGGCGUGCUUAACACAUGCAAGUCGAGCGGUAAGGCCCUUUCGGGGGUACACGAGCGGCGAACGGGUGAGUAACACGUGGGUGACCUGCCCUCAGCUCUGGGAUAAGCCUGGGAAACCGGGUCUAAUACUGGAUAUGACUCCAUGACGCAUGUUGUGGGGUGGAAAGCCUUGUGCGGCUGAGGAUGGGCCCGCGGCCUAUCAGCUUGUUGGUGGGGUGAUGGCCUAACCAAGGCGACGACGGGUAGCCGGCCUGAGAGGGCGACCGGCCACACUGGGACUGAGACACGGCCCAGACUCCUACGGGAGGCAGCAGUGGGGAAUCUUGCGCAAUGGGCGAAAGCCUGACGCAGCGACGCCGCGUGA